Molecule: transfer RNA, 71 nt
Filed under: Candidatus Cryptoclostridium obscurum
Lineage: Bacteria; Bacillati; Bacillota; Clostridia
Rfam family: tRNA
About the family: Transfer RNA (tRNA) molecules are approximately 80 nucleotides in length. Their secondary structure includes four short double-helical elements and three loops (D, anti-codon, and T loops).
Source: RNAcentral
GAGGCAUAGCUCAGUUGUUAGAGUACCUGCCUCACAUGCAGGGGGUCGCUGGUUCGAAUCCAGCUGUCUCC